AGGGCGCACGGUGGAUGCCUUGGCACUAGAAGCCGAUGAAGGACGUUACUAACGACGAUAUGCUUUGGGGAGCUGUAAGUAAGCUUUGAUCCAGAGAUUUCCGAAUGGGGAAACCCAGCAUGAGUUAUGUCAUGUUAUCGAUAUGUGAAUACAUAGCAUAUCAGAAGGCACACCCGGAGAACUGAAACAUCUUAGUACCCGGAGGAAGAGAAAGAAAAUUCGAUUCCCUUAGUAGCGGCGAGCGAAACGGGAAGAGCCCAAACCAACAAGCUUGCUUGUUGGGGUUGUAGGACACUCUAUACGGAGUUACAAAGGACGACAUUAGACGAAUCAUCUGGAAAGAUGAAUCAAAGAAGGUAAUAAUCCUGUAGUCGAAAAUGUUGUCUCUCUUGAGUGGAUCCUGAGUACGACGGAGCACGUGAAAUUCCGUUGGAAUCUGGGAGGACCAUCUCCUAAGGCUAAAUACUCUCUAGUGACCGAUAGUGAACCAGUACCGUGAGGGAAAGGUGAAAAGCACCCCGGAAGGGGAGUGAAAUAGAACCUGAAACCGUGUGCUUACAAGUAGUCAGAGCCCGUUAAUGGGUGAUGGCGUGCCUUUUGUAGAAUGAACCGGCGAGUUACGAUUUGAUGCAAGGUUAAGCAGUAAAUGUGGAGCCGUAGCGAAAGCGAGUCUGAAUAGGGCGUUUAGUAUUUGGUCGUAGACCCGAAACCAGGUGAUCUACCCUUGGUCAGGUUGAAGUUCAGGUAACACUGAAUGGAGGACCGAACCGACUUACGUUGAAAAGUGAGCGGAUGAACUGAGGGUAGCGGAGAAAUUCCAAUCGAACCUGGAGAUAGCUGGUUCUCUCCGAAAUAGCUUUAGGGCUAGCCUCAAGUGAUGAUUAUUGGAGGUAGAGCACUGUUUGGACGAGGGGCCCCUCUCGGGUUACCGAAUUCAGACAAACUCCGAAUGCCAAUUAAUUUAACUUGGGAGUCAGAACAUGGGUGAUAAGGUCCGUGUUCGAAAGGGAAACAGCCCAGACCACCAGCUAAGGUCCCAAAAUAUAUGUUAAGUGGAAAAGGAUGUGGCGUUGCCCAGACAACUAGGAUGUUGGCUUAGAAGCAGCCAUCAUUUAAAGAGUGCGUAAUAGCUCACUAGUCGAGUGACACUGCGCCGAAAAUGUACCGGGGCUAAACAUAUUACCGAAGCUGUGGAUUGUCCUUUGGACAAUGGUAGGAGAGCGUUCUAAGGGCGUUGAAGCAUGAUCGUAAGGACAUGUGGAGCGCUUAGAAGUGAGAAUGCCGGUGUGAGUAGCGAAAGACGGGUGAGAAUCCCGUCCACCGAUUGACUAAGGUUUCCAGAGGAAGGCUCGUCCGCUCUGGGUUAGUCGGGUCCUAAGCUGAGGCCGACAGGCGUAGGCGAUGGAUAACAGGUUGAUAUUCCUGUACCACCUAUAAUCGUUUUAAUCGAUGGGGGGACGCAGUAGGAUAGGCGAAGCGUGCGAUUGGAUUGCACGUCUAAGCAGUAAGGCUGAGUAUUAGGCAAAUCCGGUACUCAUUAAGGCUGAGCUGUGAUGGGGAGAAGACAUUGUGUCUUCGAGUCGUUGAUUUCACACUGCCGAGAAAAGCCUCUAGAUAGAAAAUAGGUGCCCGUACCGCAAACCGACACAGGUAGUCAAGAUGAGAAUUCUAAGGUGAGCGAGCGAACUCUCGUUAAGGAACUCGGCAAAAUGACCCCGUAACUUCGGGAGAAGGGGUGCUCUUUAGGGUUAACGCCCAGAAGAGCCGCAGUGAAUAGGCCCAAGCGACUGUUUAUCAAAAACACAGGUCUCUGCUAAACCGUAAGGUGAUGUAUAGGGGCUGACGCCUGCCCGGUGCUGGAAGGUUAAGAGGAGUGGUUAGCUUCUGCGAAGCUACGAAUCGAAGCCCCAGUAAACGGCGGCCGUAACUAUAACGGUCCUAAGGUAGCGAAAUUCCUUGUCGGGUAAGUUCCGACCCGCACGAAAGGCGUAACGAUUUGGGCACUGUCUCAACGAGAGACUCGGUGAAAUCAUAGUACCUGUGAAGAUGCAGGUUACCCGCGACAGGACGGAAAGACCCCGUGGAGCUUUACUGUAGCCUGAUAUUGAAAUUCGGCACAGCUUGUACAGGAUAGGUAGGAGCCUUUGAAACGUGAGCGCUAGCUUACGUGGAGGCGCUGGUGGGAUACUACCCUAGCUGUGUUGGCUUUCUAACCCGCACCACUUAUCGUGGUGGGAGACAGUGUCAGGCGGGCAGUUUGACUGGGGCGGUCGCCUCCUAAAAGGUAACGGAGGCGCUCAAAGGUUCCCUCAGAAUGGUUGGAAAUCAUUCAUAGAGUGUAAAGGCAUAAGGGAGCUUGACUGCGAGACCUACAAGUCGAGCAGGGUCGAAAGACGGACUUAGUGAUCCGGUGGUUCCGCAUGGAAGGGCCAUCGCUCAACGGAUAAAAGCUACCCCGGGGAUAACAGGCUUAUCUCCCCCAAGAGUUCACAUCGACGGGGAGGUUUGGCACCUCGAUGUCGGCUCAUCGCAUCCUGGGGCUGUAGUCGGUCCCAAGGGUUGGGCUGUUCGCCCAUUAAAGCGGUACGCGAGCUGGGUUCAGAACGUCGUGAGACAGUUCGGUCCCUAUCCGUCGUGGGCGUAGGAAAUUUGAGAGGAGCUGUCCUUAGUACGAGAGGACCGGGAUGGACAUACCUCUGGUGUACCAGUUGUCGUGCCAACGGCAUAGCUGGGUAGCUAUGUGUGGACGGGAUAAGUGCUGAAAGCAUCUAAGCAUGAAGCCCCCCUCAAGAUGAGAUUUCCCAACUUCGGUUAU
Molecule: ribosomal RNA, 2815 nt
Filed under: Staphylococcus aureus
Lineage: Bacteria; Bacillati; Bacillota; Bacilli; Caryophanales; Staphylococcaceae
Description: bacterial LSU rRNA
Rfam family: Bacterial large subunit ribosomal RNA
Source: RNAcentral